AUGAGCGCAUGUGCCUCCUUCUGUCCCGACCCCUAUGGCGUCUUCGGGUUCAUGGGAGAGCACGGCCCGCCCGGCAAGUACUGCAACGGCAUGAAGUGCUGCCAGGCGCCCAUCGCCGUCGUCCGUGACGAGGCAGCGAGCUACGUAACGUUCAAAUGGUUCGCGCAGAACAGAAGCGCGGAUCAGGAGGCGUACUCGGUGCCGGCCCGCGUGUUCGUCGCCGAAGAGGGGUGGUUCGAUAACUACCACGAUGGUGCAAUGGAAGUUCCUUUGUCAAAAGAUGCAACGGCAGUUCCUAUUCUUUUGGACUGGAGUAUCGUUGAUGUAGAGCCGCCCCCAUCAACAGACUACAUCAACUGGCCGGAAUUCCCUCGUGAUUGCCCGAGUAAAGUGCCCACCAGCAUAUGCAAGAGCGACAAAAGCAUGUGCAGGCAGGGUGCAGACUACAUGAACUGCUACUGCAAAGAAGGAUACGAAGGCAAUCCCUACAUCCCCGACGGCUGCCAAGAUAUAAAUGAGUGUGAGCAGCCAGGAGGAAGCCGGUGCCUUGGUAAAUGCAAAAAUACGGAAGGCUCUUUUGAGUGCGAGUGUCCAUCAGGAACCCAUGGCAACCAUAAUCUGCCCAACGGCUGCGUCUCUUCAUUCACAGUCACAGAUAAGGGUAUCAUCAUAGGAGUUGCUAGCGGGGCAUGCCUUGUACUUUUGGUUUUUAUUGGGAUCUUCAUUUCCAAGAAACUAAGGCACAAAAGGACACAAAUGUUGAAGCGCAAGUUCUUUGAGCAGAAUCGUGGUCAAUUGUUGCAACAAUUGGUAUCUCAAAGAGCUGAUAUUGCAGAAAGGAUGAUUAUACCUUUAGAAGAGCUAGAGAAGGCGACAAACAACGUUGAUAAAGCUCGUGAGCUUGGUGGCAGAGGGCAUGGCACAGUCUACAAAGGUAUUUUAUCAGACCUCCAUGUCGUGGCUAUCAAGAAACCAAAGAAGGUGGUUCAAAAAGAGAUUGAUGAGUUUAUCAAUGAGGUUGCUAUACUUUCACAAAUCAACCAUCGAAAUGUAGUAAAACUCUAUGGUUGUUGUCUUAAAACAGAAGUCCCAAUGUUGGUUUAUGAGUUCAUAUCAAAUGGAACCCUUUAUGAUCAUCUUCAUGUUGAGGGACCAAAAUCAUUGUCAUGGAGUGAUAGGCUACGAAUAGCAAUUGAAACAGCUAAAUCCCUAGCAUAUCUUCACUCGACAGCUUCAAUACCUAUCAUCCACAGAGACAUCAAGUCAGUUAACAUACUUUUGGAUGAUACUCUAACAACAAAGAUAACAGAUUUUGGAGCUUCAAGGUAUAUUUCAGUGGAGAAAUCAGGGUUAACAACCAUGGUGCAAGGUACCAUCGGAUAUUUAGACCCUAUGUACUUCUACACAGGGCGACUCACGGAGAAAAGUGAUGUCUACAGUUUUGGUGUCAUGGUUGUAGAACUGUUGACCAGAAAGAAGCCAUUUUCAUAUUUAUCCCCCAGUGGUGAUGGCAUUGUUGCGCAUUUUGCUAUGUUAUUUGCAGAAGAUAACUUGUCGCAUAUACUAGAUCCACAAGUUAUAGAUGACUGGAGCAAAGAAGCCCAUGAAGUCGCUACACUUGCAAUAGCAUGUACACAGUUAAAAGGAGAGGAUCGCCCAACCAUGCGACAAGUGGAGUUGACACUAGAAAGCCUACAAUCAUCAAUGCAUAUUGUUUCAGAUAAUGUGGUGGAUGAGGAAUUUGAGAAUGACGUUAUCCCAAUAAAUUGCCCAAUGAAUGAGCAUGAAAGAGGCGGUGAUGAGGAUUCAACGAGACAAUAUAGUAUGGAAGAAGAGUUCAUGAUAUCAUCAAGGUAUCCUCGGUAG
This 1866-nucleotide ribosomal RNA is filed under the name Triticum aestivum (bread wheat). Its description in RNAcentral is "partial small subunit ribosomal RNA". The record is from RNAcentral. Lineage: Eukaryota; Viridiplantae; Streptophyta; Magnoliopsida; Poales; Poaceae.